AUACGUAGGUGGCGAGCGUUAUCCGGAAUUACUGGGCGUAAAGGGCACGCAGGCGGCCACUCAAGUCUGACGUGAAAGCUCCCGGCUUAACUGGGAGAGGUCGUUGGAGACUGAGUGGCUUGAGGCGAUGAGAGGGGUGCGGAAUUCCCGGUGUAGUGGUGGAAUGCGUAGAUAUCGGGAGGAACACCAGUGGCGAAAGCGGCGCCCUAGCAUUGGCCUGACGCUCAUGUGCGAAAGCGUGGGGAGCGAACGGGGUUAGAUACCCCGGUAGUCCACGCUGUAAACGAUGAGCACUAGGUGUAGGCGGUGUCAAAGCUGUCUGUGCCGAAGCAAACGCGAUAAGUGCUCCGCCUGGGGAGUACGGCCGCAAGGCUAAA
Molecule: ribosomal RNA, 377 nt
Filed under: uncultured bacterium
Lineage: Bacteria
Description: bacterial SSU rRNA
Rfam family: Bacterial small subunit ribosomal RNA
Source: RNAcentral